This 259-nucleotide ribosomal RNA is filed under the name uncultured bacterium. RNAcentral describes it as "partial 16S ribosomal RNA". It matches the Rfam family "Bacterial small subunit ribosomal RNA", at positions 1123 to 1382 of the family's 1533-position model. The record is from RNAcentral.
CCCUUUUGGGAUUACCCUCUAAGAAGACUGCCUCGGAUAACGGGGAGGAAGGUGGGAUGACGUCAAGUCCGCAUGCUCCUUACGUCUAGGGCUACACACGUCCUACAAUGGGGUCGACAAUGGGAUGCAAUAUCGCAAGAUGGAGCCAAUCCCCAAACGGCCUCUCAGUUCGGAUUGUAGUCUGCAACUCGACUACAUGAAGUUGGAAUCGCUAGUAAUGGCAGAUCAGCAUGCUGCCGUGAAUACGUUCCCGGGUCUU